This 253-nucleotide ribosomal RNA is filed under the name uncultured bacterium. RNAcentral's name for it is "partial 16S ribosomal RNA". It matches the Rfam family "Bacterial small subunit ribosomal RNA", at positions 524 to 776 of the family's 1533-position model. The record is from RNAcentral.
UACGUAGGGUGCAAGCGUUAAUCGGAAUUACUGGGCGUAAAGCGUGCGCAGGCGGCUUUGCAAGCCAGAUGUGAAAUCCCCGGGCUAAACCUGGGAACUGCAUUUGUGACUGCAAGGCUGGAGUGCGGCAGAGGGGGAUGGAAUUCCGCGUGUAGCAGUGAAAUGCGUAGAUAUGCGGAGGAACACCGAUGGCGAAGGCAAUCCCCUGGGCCGGCACUGACGCUCAUGCACGAAAGCGUGGGGAGCAAACAGG